RNAcentral lists this ribosomal RNA (408 nucleotides) under uncultured bacterium. Its description in RNAcentral is "partial 16S ribosomal RNA". It matches the Rfam family "Bacterial small subunit ribosomal RNA", at positions 28 to 526 of the family's 1533-position model. The record is from RNAcentral.
GACGAACGCUGGCGGCGUGCUUAACACAUGCAAGUCGAACGAAGUGGCGAACGGGUGAGUAACGCGUAAUAAACCUGCCCUUCAGAGGGGGACAACAGUUGGAAACGAAUGCUAAUCCCGCAUACUGAAGGAGGGGAUUGCGUCUGAUUAGCUAGUUGGAGGGGUAACGGCCCACCAGGGCGAUGAUCAGUAGCCGGUCGGAGAGGAAGAACGGCCACAUUGGGACGUAGACACGGCCCAGACUCCUACGGGAGGCAGCAGUGGGGAAUCUUCGGAAAUGGACGAAAGUCUGACGGAGCAACGCCGCGGGAGUGAUGACGGCCUUCGGGUUGUAAAGCUCUGUUAAUCGGGACGCGGUACCGGAAGAGAAAGCCACGGCUAACUACGUGCCAGCAGCCGCGGUAAUAC